AGAGUUUGAUCCUCGUCAGAUUGAACGCUGGCGGCAGGCUUAACACAUGCAAGUCGAGCGGUAAACUUCCUAGCUUGCUAGGAGAUGACGAGCGGCGGACGGGUGAGUAAUGCUUGGGAACAUGCCUUUAGGAGGGGGACAACAGUUGGAAACGACUGCUAAUACCGCAUAACCUCUGAGGAGCAAAGCGGGGGACCUUCGGGCCUCGCGCCUAGAGAUUGGCCCAAGUGAGAUUAGCUAGUUGGUAAGGUAAGGGCUUACCAAGGCGACGAUCUCUAGCUGGUUUGAGAGGAUGAUCAGCCACACUGGGACUGAGACACGGCCCAGACUCCUACGGGAGGCAGCAGUCGCGGGAAUAUUGCACAAUGGGGGAAACCCUGAUGCAGCCAUGCCGCGUGUGUGAAGAAGCGCCUUCGGGUUGUAAAGCACUUUACAGUUGUGAGGAAAGGUGUCAGGUUAAUAACCUUGCAUCUGUGA
This 477-nucleotide ribosomal RNA is filed under the name uncultured bacterium. RNAcentral's name for it is "bacterial SSU rRNA". It matches the Rfam family "Bacterial small subunit ribosomal RNA", at positions 8 to 486 of the family's 1533-position model. The record is from RNAcentral.